This is a long non-coding RNA of Triticum aestivum (bread wheat), 3491 nucleotides long. RefSeq lists it as uncharacterized. The transcript has 3 exons. The record is from RefSeq and is a predicted model, not a curated record. NCBI's taxonomy places the organism in Eukaryota, Viridiplantae, Streptophyta, Magnoliopsida, Poales, Poaceae.
UGUGAAUCCGGCGGCUGAGCCUCUGCCGCAGAGGAUGGAUCCAUUGGACGAAUCCAUCGCCCCUGUUAAUCUCUCGUGAAAAUACAAUCACGUCCGCUCUGCUGCUACCGUCGUCGCCACAUCCUGAGAGGACGGAUCCAUCGGCCCCAAGUGACGCGGAGAGGAAGGAAGCCCUAGGCCGGAUGCUCAUGGCUCUGGCCAUCGCCAAGCUCCCGUACACCAAAGGCCGGGCUGCCGAAUCGUUGGGUGCCUGGCACUAACGACGGUCGAAGUCGGUCCAGCACCCCGAUAGGACGAGACGGUGACACCAUACAAGGGGGGCUUAUGGUGGUAGCGUUCGCUUGCCGAUCUAUGACUAGCGCAAUGCGCUGUCCGGAGGCAGCACAACUGCGCAAGGAAGGAGGAUGGGGGUUCAAGGUUCUGGACAGGUGGCAGGGGCAACAUGCGGCAGGAGUGUGAUAAAAGUCAUUGACAUCUCUGCCACCAAGGUUCGUUAGACAAAAAAGGGCCUCUCCAUCGGCCCCAAGUGACGCGGAGAGGAAGGAAGCCCUAGGCCGGAUGCUCAUGGCUCUGGCCAUCGCCAAGCUCCCGUACACCAAAGGCCGGGCUGCCGAAUCAUUGGGUGCCUGGCACUGACGACGGUCGAAGUCGGUCCAGCACCCCGAUAAGACGAGACGGUGACACCAUACAGGGGGGCUUAUGGUGGUAGCGUUCGCUUGCCGAUCUACGACUAGCGCAAUGCGCUGUCCGGAGGCAGCACAACUGCGCAAGGAAGGAGGAUGGGGGUUCAAGGUUCUGGACAGGCGGCAGGGGCAACAUGCGGCAGGAAAUAAUUGGACAUAUAACUAUUAAUGUAUGAACAAACAACAUCUUCAAUCAGGAUCAUCAAGCCCUCUGUUCUUUAUCUGAACAACAGACAUUGUAAUUGUUCCAUCCAUUACCUCUGAAACUCAGGAGUGUGAUAAAAGUCAUUGACAUCUCUGCCACCAAGGUUCGUUAGACAAAAAAGGGCCUCUGGUUAUGUAUCACACAAUGCAAUGCACAUGCAAAUAUGAUGAAUCAUGAGUUGAUUCAGAACUUCUAAAUGAAGCACAAUAGGAAUUGACAUGCUCUAAUGCUAACUAUUGACCAUUCUUCUCAGGUCAGUUCAUGUCUAAUACUGUAUCUUAUUUUUGCUCCCUAUUCAUCUGUCAUCUCUGCAUGAAACUUUAAUGCAGUUUUUAAUCCUAUGUUUACGGGUCGCUAGAUUCUAUAGACCUACCAUAUUAUCUUUUCGAGAUAACAGAUCAACCAUCAUAAUGGGCUUCUGUUGUAACAUCUCCCAUCUUUUGUGUUGUUAUCUAAAAGCGGUAUAGAUUGGAGAAAUUCAUGCUAAGUAUUGAUCUAGAGGUUGGGUCUUUGAGCCACUAAACUUAAUUGUAAAACUGGGAUUAAACUUAUUAUUUCUAAGCUCCCUGUUACAGAAAGAAGAAUCAAGAUCAUUAAUUAUAUGUUGGAUAAGAUUGUUGAUAUUGUAUUCUGUGGUCCUUUUCUUUUGUCAGAUUAUCUUAUGCAGACUUCCAUGGUACACAGAUUGCCAUUGCCUAGCGUCAACUACUCACUACUGCUACUACUUAGAUACUGAUUUGUCAGCUUUCCCUUUUAUGAUACAUGUUUCAUUAUACUAACUAAUAAUUAUAGAUGAAUUGUAAUGGUAAAGGGAAUAAGUUUGUCUAUUUUAAAUGGCUUGUGUUCUGUAUGGAUUAAUAGGCACUUGGCGCAAGCAGAGCACGCACAAACGUCCUUCUGAUUUUCUUAAUUAGGCCUCACAAGUAGCAGGCAGCAGUUACAAUCGAUGGUGGUAGCAUCAGUAUCAACUACCAAGUACGUUUAAUCACAGUUACUCAUAAGCUUAAUAUUUUGUAUUGUGAUGCAAGUUGAAGUACUCUGCAAUCUGCACGGGGAUGCCCACAAUCACAAUAAAUUAUUAAUAUCUCACAAAUUUGCAGAUUUUACUUCAAAUACUUGUAGGAUUGAUUUCACAGAAUUUGCCGCACACGCGGCCAAAACACGCCAAGAUUGCACCUUUAGUACCAUAAUUAUCAAGUGCAGUUAAUCUCAGUUACCCGGAUGCUUAAUAUGUUGUAAUAGUGAUGCGGAUCGAAGGAGGUCAUCGCUAUGAACAUUGGAAACAUGGUUGUGAUUGAGGACAACGAGCCCAUGACAAGACGGCUCACGCUCACCACCAUUAGAGAUGAGGAAACUGUAGUUCUGCAGACUGCUUUGCUAUCGCAGCAGUUGCUGCUGCAGUGCAAGCUAUGGCUUAACAGAGGAAGUAAUGGAGAUUCAUUCAGAGAGAUUUUUUUGAGGAUAUUCAGAGAGAAAUAUUGCUGCCUUGGGGUGCUGUUGCUGCUUGUUCAGUACUACUAUAUACUCCCUCCGUUCCCAAAUAUUUGUCUUUUUAAAGAUUUCAACAAGUGACUACAUACGAAAUAAAAUGAGUGAAUCUACACUCUAAAAUAUGUCUACAUACAUUCAUAUGUUGUAACCAUUUGAAAUGUCUAGAAAGACAAGUAUUUAGGAACGGAGGGAGUAUUACUGUUGUGUGCUAGAUGUUGAGGAGAGACAGUGAGACUUACUGAGUUACGUUGUGACUGAUUCAAUUAGUUUCACUGAUUUCUCCACAGAUGAGGUGAGCGCCUGUAGUUCAUUUCUCCCUUCUUUUGGUUCUCACUGUAGUUGACUCUUUUGAUUUGCUUAUUCUAUGUAUUUCAGUUGUAAAGAAGUUCAGUUGUUGUUCAAGAAAAUCAAAGAAGUUAGGGAUGACCAACCAUCAUCUAUCAGAAGCUUAUUAGGUAGGUUUAUUUUGUUGCUCCAAACUGUGGCUCAGUUCGCACGUGCUUUAUAUGGUUUAGUUCUGCAGUCCCUAUGAGCUCAGCUGUAGUUGUGGUUUGCCCCUGUCGGUAAGCUGUCCGACCGAGUCAUGGGCCAGACAAUACCCGAGUGGCCUUCUUGCUCCUGUGCAUGGCCUGGGUGGACCUCUCUCUACCUAUCGGAGUUAUGGGCCAAAUGACACGCGGGUGGGCUCCCUGCAAAGAGUUGAUAAAUAUAGGUGCGCUUUGACCUUUUCGAGUUUGUGAGGCGUCAUUUUCAGUGCAACCUAAAAACAACUACUAUGGAUAAAUCUUUGAGAAUAUAUCGCCUCCCGCUCACUAUAUAUAUCAAGAGAAAAAUAACUUGAGCGUGUAUGUGUAGCAGUAGUGAGUAGUUGACGCUAGGGAUACCACUGUUCCUCUAACCAUCUAACCACAGGUACACAGAUACACUGCAAAUCUAAUUAAUACGUGUACUCACGUAAAGUAUUAACAUGUUUUAAAUUUUUUGGGGACAUUUAAAAUGUGUUUUGCCUUCGAAAAAUGCUAUAUAAUUUUCAAAAAGUGUCUGUACAUCUUAAAAUGUUUGUUCAGUUUUAAGAAAGUGUUACCGUAUAUUUAUAUAGCGUUCAUAUAAUU